GUAUUUUUGAAGAAUGGCUCCAGCCAAUUUGUGUGUGCUGAGGCAGUCUGCAAACCUGCUCCUUAAUGUCAUCAAUGGUAUUCAGAGAAUUUAAGACUCAACACCUGCCUAUGAAGACUGUAGCUUCAGUAGCCAGAAUGACACAUGCAACAAAUUACCUGCUUUUGGAGGAGUCUUUGGAGCUGGUUUCUUCUUCACUGUUGCUUCACCUAGUUAAUAAAUAAAUAAAUAAAUAAAAGAAGUUAAUUCAAAGGUGAGUUUUGGAAGGUACCAGAUGAACUGCAAAGCUUACAUCCAUAGCAAUGUUUUGUUGGUACAUGAAAAUAUAAUAUGUUCUUUCAGCAUAUUAAACUCAAGGAUUAAAAAUACUUUCUGAAAACA
Neopsephotus bourkii (Bourke's parrot) is the source of this 381-nucleotide long non-coding RNA. RefSeq lists it as uncharacterized. The transcript is spliced from 2 exons. NCBI's taxonomy places the organism in Eukaryota, Metazoa, Chordata, Aves, Psittaciformes, Psittacidae. The record is from RefSeq and is a predicted model, not a curated record.